UUAGUCCCACUUAUAUCAAGGUGACGUAAACUGACUAAAUUUCCAAUAUGUAUUGGCAAUUCAGUGAGACUCCAGCAGUUUGAUAAAUUCAAGGUCUGUAAAUUGUAAAGGUUACAUAUUGUAUCAGGCAAGCUUUCGAUUCCAGUGAAGGAGAUAUCUAGAUACCGCAACUGCACCGAAUUUCCAAUUGAAUCUGGUAGCUUGGUGAUGUUUUUAUACCCUGAUAGCGAUAACACACGCAACCUUUUUUGUGACGGUAGAAAGUCAUCAAUCACCUUGAAGGAUAAGUAAUUGUGCCACCACGUCGUCAAGCAAAUACAUAGGAAGCUUCGCAAACAUUUAAAAUUGUGUAAUUUCUCAAACUUCAUGAAAAUGUCAUAGUACUCUUGGUUAUAUGAGAAGUGACGAACAUUUUCAAGGAUGUCACCACAUUCAAGCCUGCAACAACUUUUUCCUGAUACGAAUGUAGCUAAAUCAUUGAUAAGGUCAUGCAUGACAAAUUUUUCCCCACGAUCAUCAUCGCUUAAUUGUUGAAUUAACGAUCUCGAUAACAAUUCAGCAAAACAAUCAUCACCUAAUUCCUCCAACUUUUUCCCCCCUUGAGAACAAUCAAGGAAACCUUCUGCCAUCCACAACAAAACCAAUUGCUUCUUAUCGAGUGGGCAAUCCUUUGGAAAAAUUGAACAAUAUGCAAAGCAUCUUUUCAANGCUCUUUGAUACUUAACCCCACGUGGCGCUUACCCACUAAAAAAAAGGUGAGAGUUUGAAGGUUUUCUAGUCCCCCAAUUUCCAAAGGUAACUCAUUAAUGUUAGUCCCACUUAUAUCAAGGUGACGUAAACUGACUAAAUUUCCAAUAUGUAUUGGAAAUUCAGUGAGACUCCAGCAGUUUGAUAAAUUCAAGGUCUGUAAAUUGUAAAGGUUACAUAUUGUAUCAGGAAAGCUUUCGAUUCCAGUGAAGGAGAUAUCUAGAUACCGCAACAGCACCAAAUUCCCAAUUGAAUCUGGUAGCUUGGUGAUGU
RNAcentral lists this long non-coding RNA (1020 nucleotides) under Medicago truncatula (barrel medic). RNAcentral describes it as "long non-coding RNA (MTRU_LNC007377)". The record is from RNAcentral. Lineage: Eukaryota; Viridiplantae; Streptophyta; Magnoliopsida; Fabales; Fabaceae.